AUGCAAGUCCGAGCGGAGCGAUCCUAGCUUGCUAGGAGGCGUCAAGCGGCGGACGGGUGAGUAAUGCAUAGGAAUCUGCCCGGUAGUGGGGGAUAACCUGAGGAAACUCAGGCUAAUACCGCAUACGUCCUACGGGAGAAAGCAGGGGCUCUUCGGACCUUGCGCUAUCGGAUGAGCUUAUGUCGGAUUAGCUGGUUGGUGAGGUAACGGCUCACCAAGGCGACGAUCCGUAGCUGGUCUGAGAGGAUGAUCAGCCACAUCGGGACUGAGACACGGCCCGAACUCCUACGGGAGGCAGCAGUGGGGAAUAUUGGACAAUGGGGGCAACCCUGAUCCAGCCAUGCCGCGUGUGUGAAGAAGGCCCUCGGGUUGUAAAGCACUUUCAGUGAGGAAGAAGGCUUGUCGGUUAAUACCCGGCAAGAAAGACAUCACUCACAGAAGAAGCACCGGCUAACUCCGUGCCAGCAGCCGCGGUAAUACGGAGGGUGCGAGCGUUAAUCGGAAUUACUGGGCGUAAAGCGUGCGUAGGCGGCUUGAUAAGCCGGUUGUGAAAGCCCCGGGCUCAACCUGGGAACGGCAUCCGGAACUGUCAGGCUAGAGUGCAGGAGAGGAAGGUAGAAUUCCCGGUGUAGCGGUGAAAUGCGUAGAGAUCGGGAGGAAUACCAGUGGCGAAGGCGGCUUCUGGACUGACACUGACGCUGAGGUACGAAAGCGUGGGUAGCAAACAGGAUUAGAUACCCUGGUAGUCACGCCGUAAACGAUGUCGACUAGCCGUUGGGGUCCUCGAGACCUUUGUGGCGCAGUUAACGCACUAAGUCGACCGCCUGGGGAGUACGGCCGCAAGGUUAAAACUCAAAUGAAUUGACGGGGGCCCGCACAAGCGGUGGAGCAUGUGGUUUAAUUCGAUGCAACGCGAAGAACCUUACCUACCCUUGACAUCGUGCGAACUUGGUAGAGAUACCUUGGUGCCUUCGGGAACGCACAGACAGGUGCUGCAUGGCUGUCGUCAGCUCGUGUUGUGAAAUGUUGGGUUAAGUCCCGUAACGAGCGCAACCCUUGUCCCUAUUUGCCAGCGAUUCGGUCGGGAACUCUAGGGAGACUGCCGGUGACAAACCGGAGGAAGGUGGGGACGACGUCAAGUCAUCAUGGCCCUUACGGGUAGGGCUACACACGUGCUACAAUGGCCGGUACAAUGGGUCGCAAAGCGGCGACGUGGAGCUAAUCCCAUAAAGCCGGUCUCAGUCCGGAUCGGAGUCUGCAACUCGACUCCGUGAAGUCGGAAUCGCUAGUAAUCGUGCAUCAGAAUGGCACGGUGAAUACGUUCCCGGGCCUUGUACACACCGCCCGUCACACCAUGGGAGUGGACUGCACCAGAAGUGGUUAGCCUAAC
RNAcentral lists this ribosomal RNA (1390 nucleotides) under Halomonas sp. SK47. RNAcentral's name for it is "16S ribosomal RNA". It matches the Rfam family "Bacterial small subunit ribosomal RNA". The record is from RNAcentral. Lineage: Bacteria; Pseudomonadati; Pseudomonadota; Gammaproteobacteria; Oceanospirillales; Halomonadaceae.